ACUUGAUGAUGUGGACAUUUAUGCAGAAUGUCCCUAAAACACUCCCAAGUCUCGAAAAAUUACUUACCGUCUAUCUAGGAAAAACUAGUGAUGACCUUCCUAAACU
Malania oleifera is the source of this 106-nucleotide small nucleolar RNA. The record is from RefSeq and is a predicted model, not a curated record. NCBI's taxonomy places the organism in Eukaryota, Viridiplantae, Streptophyta, Magnoliopsida, Santalales, Ximeniaceae.